GGGCGAUUAGCUCAGUUGGAAGAGCGCCUGCCUUACAAGCAGGAGGUCAGAAGUUCGAGCCUUCUAUCGCCCACCA
This 76-nucleotide transfer RNA is filed under the name Leptospiraceae bacterium. RNAcentral's name for it is "tRNA-Val". It matches the Rfam family "tRNA". From Rfam's summary of the family: Transfer RNA (tRNA) molecules are approximately 80 nucleotides in length. Lineage: Bacteria; Pseudomonadati; Spirochaetota; Leptospiria; Leptospirales; Leptospiraceae. RNAcentral also lists the same sequence under 4 other names. The record is from RNAcentral.